CUUGACCGAGCCGAGCCACAGUGGCCGGUCGGCGGGACGGUCCUGCCCGUACGUGGCGAUGAGCGCCUGGGCCUC
Molecule: antisense RNA, 75 nt
Filed under: Micromonospora nigra
Lineage: Bacteria; Bacillati; Actinomycetota; Actinomycetes; Micromonosporales; Micromonosporaceae
Description: ASpks TB sRNA
Rfam family: ASpks TB sRNA
Source: Rfam by way of RNAcentral